CUGCAAUUGUAACCGUUAACACUUUAGACACGGUUAGGGAUGUUAUUCGUAUGGCAUUACCAGUACUGGGAUUAACUGGCUCAGAAAAAGAUUACCAACUGUGGGUGCAUGCUGGAAAGAACGUGCCUCCCUUCCCACUCCUGGGUCACGAGCACCCAUAUGUAAUUCAAGAACACUACCAUGAGGUUUCACCCAAUCAGUGUACACCGGAGAAGUCCACCUCUCCAUCCAGCCUUCGGCAGGCCAUCCCGAAGAUCUUAAAGUCUGGA
Molecule: long non-coding RNA, 269 nt
Organism: Ochotona princeps (American pika)
Lineage: Eukaryota; Metazoa; Chordata; Mammalia; Lagomorpha; Ochotonidae
Exons: 3
Source: RefSeq, a predicted model, not a curated record